Oreochromis aureus is the source of this 561-nucleotide long non-coding RNA. RefSeq lists it as uncharacterized. NCBI's taxonomy places the organism in Eukaryota, Metazoa, Chordata, Actinopteri, Cichliformes, Cichlidae. The record is from RefSeq and is a predicted model, not a curated record. The transcript is spliced from 3 exons.
AUUCUGAGGACUGUAAUUUCACACACUUUCAGACAUUUGCAGAGAGAAGUGUUUUGUAAAAACUUUACAAGUCAGAGGGAUUAUUUGCUCAAACAGCAACCAGUGCAAACAUAUUUUGCUGGACUCUAAGAAGGAGAAAGAAAACAAAAGAGGAUACUGUGGGUGUUGAAGAGGAGAAGGCCCCGCUGAAAAAAAUCGUGACAUCACGCCCAUUUAGAAUCUUACCACCACUUUGAUCCUUUGAGCCUUUGAUCCUAAAAACCCAUAAAUAGGAGUGAGAAGCAACAACUUUUAGUUCGUUGUUCGCAGCAUUUAUGUUCGCAGCAUUGAAACGUUUGACAGAGAAGCCUUUCAAAACAAUUGGAUCCUUUUCAGAGUGACUUUUUACACUUUCUAACAUGUCUCUGAAAAAACACACAAGAAAAGAAAAAGUAAAGCCCAGCUCUCCUCUUCUGGCUCAAGAAGACAAUAUUCAAGUUCAGAAGAUGUGCUUGGAAGAGAUGCAUGAGGAAAAUCUCAUGAACAAUCGCAAUACGAAACACCCGCCCCAGCCAGAGUACA